UUUUAGGCGCUAUGUUGUCUACGGGUGCUACAACUCGUAUCUGGCAACACAACCCACUCGCACUACUGUCGUCACUGAGGUCAGGUAGACGGAGCGAAGAUGGCGACCGCCUACGAGAGAUACAAUUUGCACACAACCCCAGAGAAGUUCUUCAUUGAGGCCUGCGAUGAGGGGGCUGAUGCUGUGCUGGCAAUUGACAGGGUCUCAAAUGAGAUGACCCUCACAGGUA
Micropterus dolomieu (smallmouth bass) is the source of this 229-nucleotide long non-coding RNA. RefSeq lists it as uncharacterized. The record is from RefSeq and is a predicted model, not a curated record. Lineage: Eukaryota; Metazoa; Chordata; Actinopteri; Centrarchiformes; Centrarchidae. The transcript has 2 exons.